This 483-nucleotide ribosomal RNA is filed under the name uncultured bacterium. RNAcentral's name for it is "partial 16S ribosomal RNA". It matches the Rfam family "Bacterial small subunit ribosomal RNA", at positions 28 to 523 of the family's 1533-position model. The record is from RNAcentral.
GAUGAACGCUGGCGGCGUGCCUAAUACAUGCAAGUCGAGCGAACCACUUCGGUGGUGAGCGGCGAACGGGUGAGUAACACGUAGGUGAUCUGCCCAUCAGACGGGGACAACGAUUGGAAACGAUCGCUAAUACCGGAUAGGACGAAAGUUUAAAGGUGCUUCUAGCACCGCUGAUGGAUGAGCCUGCGGCGCAUUAGCUAGUUGGUAGGGUAAAGGCCUACCAAGGCGACGAUGCGUAGCCGACCUGAGAGGGUGAACGGCCACACUGGGACUGAGACACGGCCCAGACUCCUACGGGAGGCAGCAGUAGGGAAUCUUCGGCAAUGGGCGAAAGCCUGACCGAGCAACGCCGCGUGAAUGAUGAUGGCCUUCGGGUUGUAAAAUUCUAUUAUAAGGGAAGAACGGCUUUAGUAGGAAAUGGCUAGAGUGUGACGGUACCUUAUGAGAAAGCCACGGCUAACUACGUGCCAGCAGCCGCAGUAA